CUUCACCGAACCCAGCCACAACGGCGUCUCGCGGCCCUGCCCAUAGGUAGCCAGCAACGCCUGCGCCUC
RNAcentral lists this antisense RNA (69 nucleotides) under Amycolatopsis keratiniphila. RNAcentral describes it as "ASpks TB sRNA". It matches the Rfam family "ASpks TB sRNA". Lineage: Bacteria; Bacillati; Actinomycetota; Actinomycetes; Pseudonocardiales; Pseudonocardiaceae. The record is from RNAcentral.